CCAGACUCCUACGGGAGGCAGCAGUAGGGAAUCUUCGGCAAUGGACGGAAGUCUGACCGAGCAACGCCGCGUGAGUGAAGAAGGUUUUCGGAUCGUAAAGCUCUGUUGUAAGAGAAGAACGAGUGUGAGAGUGGAAAGUUCACACUGUGACGGUAUCUUACCAGAAAGGGACGGCUAACUACGUGCCAGCAGCCGCGGUAAUACGUAGGUCCCGAGCGUUGUCCGGAUUUAUUGGGCGUAAAGCGAGCGCAGGCGGUUAGAUAAGUCUGAAGUUAAAGGCUGUGGCUUAACCAUAGUACGCUUUGGAAACUGUUUAACUUGAGUGCAGAAGGGGAGAGUGGAAUUCCAUGUGUAGCGGUGAAAUGCGUAUAUAUAUGGAGGAACACCGGUGGCGAAAGCGGCUCUCUGGUCUGUAACUGACGCUGAGGCUCGAAAGCGUGGGGAGCAAACAGGAUUAGAUACCCUGGUAGUCCACGCCGUAAACGAUGAGUGCUAGGUGUUGGGUCCUUUCCGGGACUCAGUGCCGUAGCUAACGCAUUAAGCACUCCGCCUGGGGAGUACGACCGCAAGGUUGAAACUCAAAGGAAUUGACGGGGGCCCGC
This 602-nucleotide ribosomal RNA is filed under the name uncultured bacterium. RNAcentral describes it as "bacterial SSU rRNA". It matches the Rfam family "Bacterial small subunit ribosomal RNA", at positions 331 to 924 of the family's 1533-position model. The record is from RNAcentral.